This 392-nucleotide ribosomal RNA is filed under the name uncultured eukaryote. RNAcentral describes it as "SSU rRNA". It matches the Rfam family "Eukaryotic small subunit ribosomal RNA", at positions 587 to 972 of the family's 1831-position model. The record is from RNAcentral.
AGCUCCAAUAGCGUAUAUUAAAGUUGUUGCAGUUAAAAAGCUCGUAGUUGGAUUUCUGGUUCGCUGCGCCUGGCCCGCCUGCGUUAGCAGUGUGAGUGCCGGUUUUGCGCGGUAGCCAUCCUUCUGGAGAACGGGCCUGCCCUUCACUGGGUGGGGUCCGCGACCCAGAUCCUUUACUUUGAAAAAAUUAGAGUGUUUAAAGCAGGCAGUUGCUCUGAAUACAUUAGCAUGGAAUAAUAAGAUAGGACUUUGGUUCUAUUUUGUUGGUUUCUAGGACUGAAGUAAUGAUUGAUAGGGAUAGUUGGGGGUGCUAGUAUUGAGCGGCCAGAGGUGAAAUUCUUGGAUUCGCUCAAGACUAACUUAUGCGAAAGCAUUCACCAAGGAUGUCUUCU